GACGAACGCUGGCGGCGUGCUUAACACAUGCAAGUCGAACGAAGAGCGACGGAAGCUUGCUUCUAUCAAUCUUAGUGGCGAACGGGUGAGUAACGCGUAAUCAACCUGCCCUUCAGAGGGGGACAACAGUUGGAAACGACUGCUAAUACCGCAUACGAUCUAACCUCGGCAUCGAGGAUAGAUGAAAGGUGGCCUCUACAUGUAAGCUAUCACUGAAGGAGGGGAUUGCGUCUGAUUAGCUAGUUGGAGGGGUAACGGCCCACCAAGGCGAUGAUCAGUAGCCGGUCUGAGAGGAUGAACGGCCACAUUGGGACUGAGACACGGCCCAGACUCCUACGGGAGGCAGCAGUGGGGAAUCUUCCGCAAUGGACGAAAGUCUGACGGAGCAACGCCGCGUGAGUGAUGACGGCCUUCGGGUUGUAAAGCUCUGUUAAUCGGGACGUAAGGCCUUCUUGCGAAUAGUGAGAAGGAUUGACGGUACCGGAAUAGAAAGCCACGGCUAACUACGUG
RNAcentral lists this ribosomal RNA (510 nucleotides) under uncultured bacterium. RNAcentral describes it as "partial 16S ribosomal RNA". It matches the Rfam family "Bacterial small subunit ribosomal RNA", at positions 28 to 507 of the family's 1533-position model. The record is from RNAcentral.